Molecule: small RNA, 131 nt
Filed under: Salmonella enterica subsp. enterica serovar Typhimurium
Lineage: Bacteria; Pseudomonadati; Pseudomonadota; Gammaproteobacteria; Enterobacterales; Enterobacteriaceae
Description: RtT RNA
Rfam family: RtT RNA
About the family: This family represents a bacterial cis-regulatory element known as RtT RNA. The exact function of RtT is unknown although it is thought that it may be involved in changing the cellular response in relation to amino acid starvation.
Source: RNAcentral
AUAUCUCUCUGUACGGGAAGGAUGAGAAGCUUCGACCAAGGUUCGAUUCGAGCGUCAGCGAGAAGCGUUGCCGCAGGCAACGACCCGAAGGGCGAAGCGCGCAGCGCUGAGUCAUCCUUCCCCCACCACCA